UACAAACAAGGUGCUGUGUUUGGAGC
This 26-nucleotide non-coding RNA is filed under the name Homo sapiens (human). The record is from RNAcentral. Lineage: Eukaryota; Metazoa; Chordata; Mammalia; Primates; Hominidae.